AAACAAUUUUUUUUUUAUCAAUUUCAUGUAAUAUUUAUCAAUUUGACAAGAUUUUACAAAAUAAAUAAUCUAGAUCGUGUUCUGUAGCAUCUGCGCUGCAUUGUUAAAACUAUCUUUUAGAUCUAACUGUAAUUAUUUCCCACAUCCAAGUUCCAGGUUAUAAUAUGCAAGUGUAAACAUUAACCUCUUAAUUUUACAAUGAGUAGUGAAAUGUUUACCCUACAGUUUGUUGUCUGUCUGUGUCUCUGUAAUUAUAUUUUUCAUGGUCAUUGUAGAGUAUCAUCUGGUAAGUCAACAUAAGAUGAGACGUGUAGGAAGAAAAUAAUAAUACUAAUAAUAGUCAAGUUUGUUAUUAUGGCUAAAUAUUUGCUCUGAAUAUAUAUGUGUAAUGAUAAUGUAAUAAUAAUAUCAUAACUCUCGGAGUGAUUGGCAUGGUAAUGUACAUAACAUUGUUAAUAUAUUUUGUACUGCUGCUUCAAAUAUAACAUACACAAAAUAACCCCCAUAUAGCAUACAUGAUUCACCUCGAAGCAGAUCUAUACAGGUGGAGCUGGGGAAGGUGGAGGGUUUCUGAAGCUGCAAUUGCUACGGCAAGCACUAGUCAUUUAUUGAAUGUUGAGCAGUGAGCUCAUUGGCUACCGAUACAGGAGAGAACCAAUCAGCUGUGCCAUGUGAUAAUGAUGUCAUUAGGUCAGAUUGAGUUAGACCUAUCGGACUGCGCCAUCUAGAGUUUCAUGCCAGAACUCUGUAUUUGUUGUUUGAUAUGACUUUGAGAUUUGGAAGAACAUUAGCUUGUGUUUAGGUGAAUUUCUUGAUGAAGCGCAGUUUGAGAUAAGCGAUGAUGAGGAAGAUGAGGGUCAUGAUUCCCAGAGCCAAAUGAUUCUGCCACAAAUCCCAGGUUGAGUAAUGGAUGCCCUGUUCACUCAGAAAGUCCUCACCUUUCGUGCAG
This is a long non-coding RNA of Carassius gibelio (silver crucian carp), 949 nucleotides long. RefSeq lists it as uncharacterized. The record is from RefSeq and is a predicted model, not a curated record. NCBI's taxonomy places the organism in Eukaryota, Metazoa, Chordata, Actinopteri, Cypriniformes, Cyprinidae. The transcript has 3 exons.